This 972-nucleotide long non-coding RNA is filed under the name Rattus norvegicus (Norway rat). RNAcentral describes it as "long non-coding RNA NONRATT018584". Lineage: Eukaryota; Metazoa; Chordata; Mammalia; Rodentia; Muridae. The record is from RNAcentral.
GCGGGGGGAGCAGCAACGGCGCCGCCCGGGCCCCCCCUGCCUCAUCCCUCCGUCUAGCCCGGAGAUGCGGAGGAGCGGUACCUUGGAUUGUGAUCUAAGAGCGAAAGAAUCAGUUAAAACCACUAGGCCGAGAGGAGUAGAGGAGGAACUUAAAGCGUGCGGCGUCCCACCUCCGCCGCCAGUCGCGGCCCCUUUAAGAAGGAGCUACGGUCCCGAAUUGAACGGGGGAAGGGAAAGGAAAGCGGGAAAGACGGAACCACCGGGAAGUACCGAGGGAGGACCGGAAACCGAAGCACAAACCGUUCCCUCUCUCCACUGAUUUAUCCGUCAAGAGUAGGAAAAAAUAAAGCAGUAGGGACCUUCACCAUUCAAGACAACCGUCUUAAGAGAGACAAGGCCGGCUUAGACUUUCCUGGGACUUAGCCCCCUCCCAACAGCCCCUCUCCGCGUCCUACCCAGACUUCUCCCGGUGUAAACAGGCCUGUGAAUUAAACCUAGCCGAGCCCGUGGGACGACCGAAGCCCCUGGGGACAACGGGUGAAGGGAAACUGGCUAAAGGUUCGGCUUCCGAGGACGACAAGCCGAGGCCUCCAUGACCCUCCCGGAGUGCUGUGGGGUGCUGGGGAUCCCGCUUCGGCCCUUCCUCCUCCACUCGCUCUUACCUGGCCGGCGCUGUUCCUCUUCCGGGCGGACCGGUUCCCCCUUGGAGCCCGCGCCGGAGGAUGAUCCGUUCCGAGCCCGGGUUGUCUGCAGAGCCGAGUAGGGCGCGAGGCGGGGAGCCUGGUUGGACGUGUAGCAGGUCGCGGCGCUGCUCCUGAGAUGACAGCAGCGCUCCCGGGGGAGGCCUCGGCUUCCAGGUUCCCGUGGCUGUCCUCGAGUUCGCGCCAGCUGAGCACUUUACGUAACCUCUUUAUGUAAGCUGCACCUCCCGCCGCUACUUUGGUCAGUGGAGAUUCCUGGUGGCCCAUCCCC